Cuculus canorus (common cuckoo) is the source of this 1993-nucleotide long non-coding RNA. RefSeq lists it as uncharacterized. The record is from RefSeq and is a predicted model, not a curated record. NCBI's taxonomy places the organism in Eukaryota, Metazoa, Chordata, Aves, Cuculiformes, Cuculidae. The transcript is spliced from 3 exons.
UUCAGACAAAGCUUUGCUUCUGGGCUCAUUUCCAUCUCUUCAGUGAAGGUCUGGCCGUGCACUUCGUGGAAAAUAUCCAGGCGGAUUUUGGUACGCUUCUGUAUGUUCAGGCUGGAAGAUUCAUAAUUUCAGGAGGAUUCAAAGAACUUUUAAUUAUUGCGAAGAAUCUGAAGGAUAAAGCAGGAGAGUUAUUCCCCCCUUAGGCUCCACGACAGGACUCACCGCUCUUGUCACCGAGAGGAAUCUGUCAUAGCUAAUCAACACGAUGUUGAAGACUGAGGAGGUGCAGAGCAGUUGGUGAUAUUCCAGGAUGAAUCCAUAGAAGGCAGGAGUGGAAUCAUCUUCAUGGGUGCCUUGUCACCAGGGUAGGAUCAGCUCACCACGAUCACCACCCCUGGAGAACAGCGUGGGGCUGUGCAGAGCAGCAAGACUGGAAACCAGGGAAAGAUACUGGCUGGAGACCCUGUCCAAGCAUCUUUCUUUCUGGGGAAUCUCGAGAAGUUGUGUAAGUCUUUGAAAAACAGAGAUCAAAAAAGGCAAAGCAAGGAAAUUCUGCAAAUCCAGAAACAUGCAUGAAGUCAAUGCCCAGUGGGUUUGCUGCCUUCUGAUUACUUCAAAAGCUAUUUUCACAUCAGGAACCAUUACAGCCUCACAAAACUCCUCUUCAAACCCACCACUACGGCCACUGUCUUGAUAGCAGGUGCUAAUCCUCCUGCGAGGAGGCUGAAAGGGCUCUUUUAAAUCACGAUAAAUAAUUUGCAGCCAGGAGAUCCAGGACAUGAGAGCACUUUUCAGCUCAACGCAGGCAGAGAGCCUGACAAGUGCUCCUGCAGGAGUGGCCUUUGGUGGCACCUGCCAACAGGUGGCCUCCAAGAGGGACCAGACUCACUCUGUCCCUUGACUUGCCCAGCACGGAGACAACACACUGGCUCCAUGUUUAGAUCCAGGCUGUCUUUUUCCAGGUGCUGUGCAGGGGCAGCACAGGCAGGCUGUGCCCAAUGGGCAGGCACUUGGUGUGUCCCCUUCCUCAGGCAGCCAAGUGUCCCCAAGCCACUCCACUGCCACAUCCCGACGGAGGAUGUCACUGUGGGCUUGUGGGAGCUGCGGGUGGGAGAGCAGAGGACGCUGCGUGGGUGGGUGACAAUCUCCUGGUCGGUGGGACAACGGCGGUGCACCCAUGCGAGGCUUUGAAGAACGUCAUGGGUGGCUUCAGCGCUGCCUUGAGGGAGAUCAGACCUACCCACACACCGGCUUGCGUUCCGCCCAGGGCAGCUCGCAGCUCGCUGUGCAGCUGCAGCGUGUCGCAGCAGAGAGGAACAGAAUUUAGUGCCCAUCAUUUCAGAUGUGACGGAGAAAGGGUGCUGUUUUCCACCCCCUUGUUUAAUGAACCCACAGACCACAUUCAUUCUGUGACUGUUUGUGAUCUGGUGGUGUUUGUAAUCUCCAGCUAUUCAGACGAUCAUUAGUAUUCAUUGAAAUGUUUACAAAUGCCAAAUUAUUGUGUGCAUGUUGCAGCGCUAUCACUGGGAGCUGUUUGCUGUUUGUGAGUUGUCAUUCAUUAUUCAGAGUUUUCACCACCCAGACAGAAAGCAGAAACUGUACCUUGUACCUAAGGUAAUUUAUAAAGUGAUUUGCAAAAGAUAACAUAGACAAAUCUGAAUUAUUGUUUAUCCAGAGUAAUUUGUCAGGAGCUUUAUAUAAAUAAGAGAUGACAGAGCUGAGCAGACUGUAGUUUUCCUGGUUGUGAAGUUUCUCCCUUGCUCCAGCAGAUGGAUAAAUGUAUUUCUAAUGUAUUUCAGGAAACAUGCUAUCUUGGUACUAAAAGAAAGGAAAUCUCCCAAACUGGAAGGGAUAGUUAAAGCAGAAUCACACGCAGACAUGCAAGCAGAUGGUAAGAGAGCUAGUGUUUUGACCAGGCUUAGGCACUGCAUAUGCCAUGUGUAGAUAUGCCAUAUGUUCAUAAGUGCUUAUAUAUGUUCCUAUAGGGUGUAUU